Pelobates cultripes (western spadefoot toad) is the source of this 114-nucleotide non-coding RNA. NCBI's taxonomy places the organism in Eukaryota, Metazoa, Chordata, Amphibia, Anura, Pelobatidae. The record is from the annotation of a GenBank genome assembly.
GCUUCGGCUGCACAUAUACUAAAAACAUUUUUCAAAAUUGGAAUGAUACAGAGAAGAUUAGCAUGGCUCCUGCGCAAGGAUGACACACAAAUUUGUGAAGCAUUCCAUAUAAAA